RNAcentral lists this ribosomal RNA (587 nucleotides) under uncultured bacterium. RNAcentral's name for it is "partial 16S ribosomal RNA". It matches the Rfam family "Bacterial small subunit ribosomal RNA", at positions 355 to 1375 of the family's 1533-position model. The record is from RNAcentral.
UGGGGAAUUUUGGACAAUGGGCGAAAGCCUGAUCCAGCAAUGCCGCGUGUGUGAAGAAGGCCUUCGGGUUGCAAAGCACUUUUGUCCGGAAAGAAAUCCUUGGCUCUAAUACAGUCGGGGGAUGACGGUACCGGAAGAAUAAGCACCGGCUAACUACGUGCCAGCAGCCGGGGUAAUACGUAGGGUGCAAGCGUUAAUCGGAAUUACUGGGCGUAAAGCGUGCGCAGGCGGUUUGCUAAGACCGAUGUGAAAUCCCCGGGCUCAACCUGGGAACUGCAUUGGUGACUGGCAGGCUAGAGUAUGGCAGAGGGGGGUAGAAUUCCACGUGUAGCAGUGAAAUGCGUAGAGAUGUGGAGGAAUACCGAUGGCGAAGGCAGCCCCCUGGGCCAAAUACUGACGCUCAUGCACGAAAGCGUGGGGAGCAAACAGGAUUAGAUACCCUGGUAGUCCACGCCCUAAACGAUGUCAACUAGUUGUUGGGGAUUCAAUUUCCUUAGUAACGUAGCUAACGCGUGAAGUUGACCGCCUGGGGAGUACGGUCGCAAGAUUAAAACUCAAAGGAAUUGACGGGGUCAUAGCUGUUUCCU